Molecule: ribosomal RNA, 420 nt
Filed under: Triticum aestivum (bread wheat)
Lineage: Eukaryota; Viridiplantae; Streptophyta; Magnoliopsida; Poales; Poaceae
Description: partial small subunit ribosomal RNA
Source: RNAcentral
AUGGCCACCAAGGUCGACGCCGCCGCGGCCGCCGCAGCCUCCUCUCCGGCUACCUCAUCUCCUCUCACUCCUCCCGCUACCUCUUCCCAGCCAAACCCCACCAUCUCUCCCGACACCCCAUCUCUGCUUGUCACUCCCGCUCCUCUUCCUCUCCAGACGGCGCCGCCACCCCACUUCUACCCAACGCCGGCGUAUGUGCACGCCAUGCGUGUCGAGGGUGCUCACAUCAAUCUCCCCGUCCGCCUCGCCAUGAACGGCGCCAACUACACUGUCUGGCGGGGGAUGAUGCUGGACGUCAUCGAUCAGUACGACGUCGCCUCUUGGAUCGCGCCGGACUUCGCCGACCACGCCGGCGAUGCAUGCUGGAACAUCAUCAACAAGGCGGUGAAGCGAUGGUUCCUCGGCGCGAUGGUGACGUAG